CUUACAGAGCUUCCUCUUGGGCCCACAACAGAGCUGCUGUGCUCCUGCCGGGCGGGCCGUCUUCUGACACACACACAAAAGCCUUGUUAGAGCUCCUUCCUUACUAGGGACAGCCCAAGGCCAAAAGAGAGAUUCCCUGCCCCAAAACAGGGAUGAAGAGCCCAGAACUUCUCUGUCACUGAGAAUUUCAAUGCCGUAGAGGUAACCUGGGAUGGAGAGGAAUUGAAAAGAGCUACUGAGAAGGGCCAUUCCUCAUGGGGCACCAGGGGGGCUUCGCGGGGGCGCAGGGAGGGCCGUUCCUGCCAGUGGCCCUUCUAAGAAACUCUAUAACAUCCAUGUGAAUGCUUUUGUCUGAGAGCUGGGAAAGUGGCCGUGGUUCUCCAGGGCAUCCCAUUCCCCAUGCUAACCUCCAGGUUAUAUCCCUGAAGUGAAUUCUUAUUCUAUGUUGCCUCAACAUGCAUUUUGAAUAUAAAUUUAACUUUCUCAUACCAGAAGCAGGGCUUAGGUACUCUUGGUGCAGUUUCUAGUUCUAUACUCCCAAACCCAGUCCCCCAGUGUGGUCCAUCUAGAUAUCUGCCUUAUACAACUUCCUCCUGGUGACCCCCUGCCCAGUGACAGCUAGAUAUAGCCUGCUGGGCAGGCCCUGCUGACUCCCACAGCCCACAUAGACUGUGCAGAUGUGUCACAGCGACCACCGCUCAUCGCAGCAUGACCUCCUGAACUCAUGCCUGCUCGCUAAACCCACCAUGUAAAACUCCCACUGGAGACCUGCCUGGAUAACACCCUGGACCCAGUAAAGUCAUUAGUGCGUGGAUUCCUCUCUCUCUCUCUGUCUUCGUGUGCUCCCUGCCUUCAGUGUGUGCCCUCUGGGCAUGACGUGUAACCUCCAGUACCUGUAAGUAAUAAAAUCUUUAUUUCCAUCUUGUGUCCCCCUAAUCAAUGAAGCGGUGCCCUUCAUCUCAAAGAUCCUAAAUUAUAACAAUCCCUUACCUAGAGAUGAUUUCCGCAGAAGUCGUCCAAGGGCAGAAACAGAAACAAGUCAUGAAGUUCAUUUGAUCAUCCUUGAGGACGUAUCAGGAAGUCUUGUCAGCACAAAGGCGAGGCUGGUGGUAGUCCUGGGAAUUAUCAGCACCUGUGAUUGAGUGGUUUCUCUGUGCAUG
Molecule: long non-coding RNA, 1160 nt
Filed under: Homo sapiens (human)
Lineage: Eukaryota; Metazoa; Chordata; Mammalia; Primates; Hominidae
Description: HSALNT0332888
Source: RNAcentral